Aedes aegypti (yellow fever mosquito) is the source of this 69-nucleotide non-coding RNA. Lineage: Eukaryota; Metazoa; Arthropoda; Insecta; Diptera; Culicidae. The record is from Rfam.
GGCUCGGUAGCUUAGGUGGUAAAGCGCUCGUCUAGCAUACAAGAGUCCUGGGUGUCGUGUUCCGAGCCA